UCUCCUGCUAUUCAGUGUGUCAUUCACUUUGCUCACACAAUGUGUUGAUGCAUUGUGAAUACUAACCCAAGAUCUUAUAGAGUCAAUCACUUGUGGAGAAGAGUUCCAACUUUCUGAACUCCCACACUUUCUAUUGUUUAAAGCUCUCCCAGGCUAGGGAUAAGAGCUAUGAGGCACACUCCUCAUCUCCAUUUCAUCUGCUUCACCCUAACUCUCAAUGUUAGGGUUAAGAG
This 233-nucleotide long non-coding RNA is filed under the name Lathyrus oleraceus (garden pea). Its description in RNAcentral is "Pisum sativum (pea) long non-coding RNA (PSAT_LNC001448)". Lineage: Eukaryota; Viridiplantae; Streptophyta; Magnoliopsida; Fabales; Fabaceae. The record is from RNAcentral.